UGAGAACUAAGUCUUGGUCAUAGAAAGUA
This 29-nucleotide non-coding RNA is filed under the name Mus musculus (house mouse). The record is from RNAcentral. Lineage: Eukaryota; Metazoa; Chordata; Mammalia; Rodentia; Muridae.